UGAGUAACACGUGGGUGACCUGCCCUUGAGACGGGGAUAACGGAUGGAAACAUGCGCUAAUACCCGAUAGGGUCCCAGGGUCAAAGCUGGGAUGAAAGCUUUGGUGCUCAAGGAGGGGCUCGCGGCCCAUCAGCUAGUUGGUGAGGUAACGGCUCACCAAGGCGAAGACGGGUAGGGGGUGUGAGAGCACGGCCCCCCACAAUGGGACUGAGACACGGCCCAUACUCCUACGGGAGGCAGCAGCAGGGAAUAUUGCACAAUGGACGGAAGUCUGAUGCAGCGACGCCGCGUGGAUGAUGAAGGCCUUCGGGUUGUAAAAUCCUUUACGGGGUGACGAGGAAGGACGGUAGCCCCGGAACAAGCGUCGGCUAACUACGUGCCAGCAGCCGCGGUAAGACGUAGGACGCAAGCGUUAUCCGGAUUUACUGGGCGUAAAGCGUCUGUAGGCGGAUGAGUAAGUUGGGCGUGAAAGCUCCGGGCUCAACCCGGAGAGGCCGUUCAAUACUGCUGAUCUAGAGGAGGCCAGAGGGGAGUGGAAUUCCUGGAGUAGCGGUAAAAUGCGCAGAUAUCAGGAAGAACACCAGUGGCGAAGGCGGCUCCCUAGGGCCCACCUGACGCUGAGAGACGACAGCUAGGGGAGCGAACAGGAUUAGAGACCCUGGUAGUCCUAGCCGUAAACGAUGGAUGCUAGGUGUAGGGCCGUAGAGGCUCUGUGCCGGAGCGAACGCGAUAAGCAUCCCACCUGGGGAGUACGGCCGCAAGGCUAAAACUCAAAUGAAUUGACGGGGACCCGCACAAGCAGCGGAGCGUGUGGUGUAAUUCGAUGCUACACGAAGAACCUUACGUGGGUUUGACAUGGGCGUGGUAGUGAAGCGAAAGCGGAGCGACCCUUCGGGGAGCGUCCACAGGUGCUGCAUGGCGGUAGUCAGCUCGUGCCGUGAGGUGUCGGGUUAAGUCCCGUAACGAGCGCAACCCUUGCCCUUAGUUACAAGUGUCUAAGGGGACUGCCGGCGGGAAGCCGGAGGAAGGUGGGGAUGACGUCAAGUCAGCAUGGCCCUUAUAUCCAGGGCUACACACACGCUACAAUGGCCGGUACAGAGGGCAGCGAAGCCGCGAGGUGGAGCGAAUCCCAGAAAGCCGGUCGUAGUUCGGAUUG
RNAcentral lists this ribosomal RNA (1156 nucleotides) under uncultured organism. RNAcentral's name for it is "bacterial SSU rRNA". It matches the Rfam family "Bacterial small subunit ribosomal RNA", at positions 107 to 1300 of the family's 1533-position model. The record is from RNAcentral.